RNAcentral lists this ribosomal RNA (301 nucleotides) under uncultured bacterium. Its description in RNAcentral is "partial 16S ribosomal RNA". It matches the Rfam family "Bacterial small subunit ribosomal RNA", at positions 509 to 807 of the family's 1533-position model. The record is from RNAcentral.
CAGCAGCCACGGGAAUACGUAGGUGGCAAGCGUUGUCCGGAAUUAUUGGGCGUAAAGGGCUCGCAGGCGGUUUCUUAAGUCUGAUGUGAAAGCCCCCGGCUCAACCGGGGAGGGUCAUUGGAAACUGGGAAACUUGAGUGCGGAAGAGGAGAGUGGAAUUCCACGUGUAGCGGUGAAAUGCGUAGAGAUGUGGAGGAACACCAGUGGCGAAGGCGACUCUCUGGUCUGUAACUGACGCUGAGGAGCGAAAGCGUGGGGAGCGAACAGGAUUAGAUACCCGGGUAGUCCCUGUCUCUUAUAC